GAUGAAGAACGUAGCAAAAUGCGAUAAGUAGUGUGAAUUGCAGAAUUCAGUGAAUCAUCGAAUCUUUGAACGCACAUUGCGCCCCCUGGUAUUCCGGGGGGCAUGCCUGUUCGAGCGUCAUUUCACCACUCAAGCCUCGCUUGGUAUUGGGCAACGCGGUCCGCCGCGUGCCUCAAAUCGACCGGCUGGGUCUUCUGUCCCCUAAGCGUUGUGGAAACUAUUCGCUAAAGGGUGUUCGGGAGGCUACGCCGUAAAACAACCCCAUUUCUAAGGUUGACCUCGGAUCAGGUAGGGAUACCCGCUGAACUUAAGCAUAUCAAUAAGCGGAGGA
This 331-nucleotide unclassified non-coding RNA is filed under the name soil metagenome. RNAcentral's name for it is "partial contains 5.8S ribosomal RNA, internal transcribed spacer 2, and large subunit ribosomal RNA". The stretch from base 1 to 120 matches the Rfam family "5.8S ribosomal RNA", at positions 35 to 154 of the family's 154-position model. The record is from RNAcentral.